RNAcentral lists this ribosomal RNA (166 nucleotides) under Bacillus sp. 103mf. Its description in RNAcentral is "23S rRNA. Bacterial LSU". It matches the Rfam family "Bacterial large subunit ribosomal RNA", at positions 2759 to 2925 of the family's 2925-position model. Lineage: Bacteria; Bacillati; Bacillota; Bacilli; Caryophanales; Bacillaceae. The record is from RNAcentral.
AGGGAUAAGUGCUGAAAGCAUCUAAGCAUGAAGCCCCCCUCAAGAUGAGAUUUCCCAUAGCGUUAAGCUAGUAAGAUCCCUGAAAGAUGAUCAGGUUGAUAGGUUCGAGGUGGAAGCGUGGUGACACGUGGAGCUGACGAAUACUAAUAGAUCGAGGACUUAACCA